CCCCACAGGACCGUAGGCACUGGGGCGGGAGGAAGGUUGUCACGUGGCGCCGGAGCUCACGUGACUCGGAGUACACAUGACUCCCAGUCCCCGAGCGCCUCCAGAAGAGGAAGGACGCGGGGGAGCAGAGAUGAUCCGAGCCUCGCCGCCGCCGCUGUACCUGCUGCUGCUGCUCGUGUCUUGGGCGCCCCUAGGCAAGGCAGCCCCCGACCAGGACGAGAUCCAGUGCCUACCCGGGCUGUCCAAACAGCCAUCUUUCCGCCAGUUCUCCGGCUACCUCAAAGGCUCUGGCUCCAAGCACCUCCACUACUGGUUUGUGGAGUCCCAGAAGGAUCCCGAGAACAGCCCUGUGGUGCUUUGGCUCAAUGGGGGUCCCGGCUGCAGCUCCCUAGAUGGGCUCCUCACAGAGCAUGGCCCCUUCCUGAUCCAGCCAGAUGGUGUCACCCUGGAGUACAACCCCUAUUCUUGGAACCUGAUUGCCAAUGUGUUAUACCUGGAGUCCCCAGCUGGGGUGGGCUUCUCCUACUCUGAUGACAAACUUUAUGUGACCAAUGACACUGAGGUCGCCCAGAGCAAUUUUGAGGCCCUUCAAGAUUUCUUCCGCCUCUUUCCGGAGUACAAGAACAACAAACUUUUCCUGACCGGAGAGAGCUAUGCUGGCAUCUACAUCCCCACCCUGGCCGUGCUGGUCAUGCAGGACCCCAGCAUGAACCUUCAGGGGCUGGCUGUGGGCAAUGGACUCUCCUCCUAUGAGCAGAAUGACAACUCCCUGGUCUACUUUGCCUAUUACCACGGCCUUCUGGGGAACAGGCUCUGGUCUUCUCUCCAGACCCACUGCUGCUCUCAAAACAAGUGUAACUUCUAUGACAACAAAGACCCGGAAUGCGUGACCAAUCUUCAGGAAGUGUCCCGCAUCGUGGGCAACUCCGGCCUCAACAUCUACAACCUCUAUGCCCCGUGUGCUGGAGGGGUGCCCAGCCAUUUUAGGUAUGAGAAGGACACUGUUGUGGUCCAGGAUUUGGGCAACAUCUUCACUCUCCUGCCAAUCAAGCGGACGUGGCAUCAGGCACUGCUUCGUUCGGGGAAUAAAGUGCGCAUGGACCCCCCCUGCACCAACACCACAGCUGCGUCCACCUACCUCAACAACCCGUAUGUGCGGAAGGCCCUCCACAUCCCGGAGCAGCUGCCCCAGUGGGACAUGUGCAACUUCCUGGUAAACCUACAGUACCGCCGUCUCUACCGAAGCAUGAACUCCCAGUAUCUGAAGCUGCUUAGCUCACAGAAAUACCAGAUCCUGUUAUAUAAUGGAGAUGUAGACAUGGCCUGCAAUUUCAUGGGGGAUGAGUGGUUUGUGGAUUCCCUCAACCAGAAGAGGGCAAGUGGAGGAGUUCCCAACCCCAAGGUCUUGCUGGCAGCUGUGAGCAAGGAUGCAGCUGCCGUAGGCUGAUUUCUUUCCUGGUGGGGCAGAUGGAGGUGCAGCGCCGGCCCUGGUUAGUGAAGUACGGGGACAGCGGGGAGCAGAUUGCCGGCUUCGUGAAGGAGUUCUCCCACAUUGCCUUUCUCACUAUCAAGGGCGCCGGACACAUGGUCCCAACCGACAAGCCCCUUGCUGCCUUCACCAUGUUCUCCCGAUUCCUGAACAAGCAGCCAUACUGAUGACCACAGCGACCAGCUUCCCCACGGCCUGCCACAGCUCCUCCUAGCCUCUCCUAGCCUCUCCUGCUGGGAGUCCUCUUGUAAGCACAGUACCCCUGCAGGGCAGGUUCUGCCUCUGGGACUCCCGUAGACAGCCUGGGGGCAGGUUGGCACUUCAUUCCCACAGUAGUUCCUGAAUGGGGUGGCCUGGCCCCCUCUCUGCUUCAAGAAUACCCUUUAUGAUGCACUGAUCCCAUUCCACGAACCCAACAGAGCUCAGGACAGCCCACAGGGAGGUGGUGGAUGGACUAUAAUUGAUGGAUUCACUGAUUAUGUGAUUAAAUUGGGUACAGUUUCAAA
This is an RNA transcript of Sapajus apella (tufted capuchin), 1995 nucleotides long. It is a transcript of the gene named cathepsin A, with no coding region annotated. The transcript has 15 exons. Lineage: Eukaryota; Metazoa; Chordata; Mammalia; Primates; Cebidae. The record is from RefSeq and is a predicted model, not a curated record.